Molecule: ribosomal RNA, 1433 nt
Filed under: uncultured organism
Description: 16S ribosomal RNA
Rfam family: Bacterial small subunit ribosomal RNA
Source: RNAcentral
GCUUAACACAUGCAAGUCGAGGGGCAGCACAGGUAGCAAUACCGGGUGGCGACCGGCGCACGGGUGAGUAACGCGUAUGCAACUUGCCUAUCAGAGGGGGAUAACCCGGCGAAAGUCGGACUAAUACCGCAUGAAGCAGGGGCCCCGCAUGGGGAUAUUUGCUAAAGAUUCAUCGCUGAUAGAUAGGCAUGCGUUCCAUUAGGCAGUUGGCGGGGUAACGGCCCACCAAACCGACGAUGGAUAGGGGUUCUGAGAGGAAGGUCCCCCACAUUGGUACUGAGACACGGACCAAACUCCUACGGGAGGCAGCAGUGAGGAAUAUUGGUCAAUGGGCGCGAGCCUGAACCAGCCAAGUCGCGUGAGGGAUGAAGGUUCUAUGGAUCGUAAACCUCUUUUAUAAGGGAAUAAAGUGCGGGACGUGUCCCGUUUUGUAUGUACCUUAUGAAUAAGGAUCGGCUAACUCCGUGCCAGCAGCCGCGGUAAUACGGAGGAUCCGAGCGUUAUCCGGAUUUAUUGGGUUUAAAGGGUGCGUAGGCGGCCUUUUAAGUCAGCGGUGAAAGUCUGUGGCUCAACCAUAGAAUUGCCGUUGAAACUGGGAGGCUUGAGUAUGUUUGAGGCAGGCGGAAUGCGUGGUGUAGCGGUGAAAUGCAUAGAUAUCACGCAGAACCCCGAUUGCGAAGGCAGCCUGCCAAGCCAUUACUGACGCUGAUGCACGAAAGCGUGGGGAUCAAACAGGAUUAGAUACCCUGGUAGUCCACGCAGUAAACGAUGAUCACUAGCUGUUUGCGAUACAUUGUAAGCGGCACAGCGAAAGCGUUAAGUGAUCCACCUGGGGAGUACGCCGGCAACGGUGAAACUCAAAGGAAUUGACGGGGGCCCGCACAAGCGGAGGAACAUGUGGUUUAAUUCGAUGAUACGCGAGGAACCUUACCCGGGUUUGAACGCAUUCGGACCGAGGUGGAAACACCUUUUCUAGCAAUAGCCGUUUGCGAGGUGCUGCAUGGUUGUCGUCAGCUCGUGCCGUGAGGUGUCGGCUUAAGUGCCAUAACGAGCGCAACCCUUGCCACUAGUUACUAACAGGUAAAGCUGAGGACUCUGGUGGGACUGCCAGCGUAAGCUGCGAGGAAGGCGGGGAUGACGUCAAAUCAGCACGGCCCUUACAUCCGGGGCGACACACGUGUUACAAUGGCGUGGACAAAGGGAAGCCACCUGGCGACAGGGAGCGAAUCCCCAAACCACGUCUCAGUUCGGAUCGGAGUCUGCAACCCGACUCCGUGAAGCUGGAUUCGCUAGUAAUCGCGCAUCAGCCAUGGCGCGGUGAAUACGUUCCCGGGCCUUGUACACACCGCCCGUCAAGCCAUGGGAGCCGGGGGUACCUGAAGUCCGUAACCGCGAGGAUCGGCCUAGGGUAAAACUGGUGACUGGGGCUAAGU